AUGAACGCUGGCGGCGUGCCUAAUCCAUGCAAGUCGAGCGAACAGACGAGGAGCUUGCUCCUCUGACGUUAGCGGCGGACGGGUGAGUAACACGUGGAUAACCUACCUAUAAGACUGGGAUAACUUCGGGAAACCGGAGCUAAUACCGGAUAAUAUAUUGAACCGCAUGGUUCAAUAGUGAAAGACGGUUUUGCUGUCACUUAUAGAUGGAUCCGCGCCGCAUUAGCUAGUUGGUAAGGUAACGGCUUACCAAGGCAACGAUGCGUAGCCGACCUGAGAGGGUGAUCGGCCACACUGGAACUGAGACACGGUCCAGACUCCUACGGGAGGCAGCAGUAGGGAAUCUUCCGCAAUGGGCGAAAGCCUGACGGAGCAACGCCGCGUGAGUGAUGAAGGUCUUCGGAUCGUAAAACUCUGUUAUUAGGGAAGAACAAAUGUGUAAGUAACUAUGCACGUCUUGACGGUACCUAAUCAGAAAGCCACGGCUAACUACGU
This 495-nucleotide ribosomal RNA is filed under the name uncultured bacterium. RNAcentral describes it as "partial 16S ribosomal RNA". It matches the Rfam family "Bacterial small subunit ribosomal RNA", at positions 29 to 506 of the family's 1533-position model. The record is from RNAcentral.